RNAcentral lists this unclassified non-coding RNA (378 nucleotides) under uncultured Chlamydiales bacterium. Its description in RNAcentral is "contains 16S-23S intergenic spacer region". Lineage: Bacteria; Pseudomonadati; Chlamydiota; Chlamydiia; Chlamydiales. The record is from RNAcentral.
UCCUGGUUAACCCAGGCAGUCUCACUAGAGUCCCCACCUUUACGUGUUGGCAACUAAUGAUAAGGGUUGCGCUCGUUGCGGGACUUAACCCAACACCUCACGGCACGAGCUGACGACAGCCAUGCAGCACCUGUACAGCAGCCAUUGCUGGAAAUAACAUCUCUGUUAUCGUCUCCUGUAUGUCAAGUCUGGGUAAGGUUCUUCGCGUUGCAUCGAAUUAAACCACAUGCUCCACUGCUUGUGCGGGCCCCCGUCAAUUCUUUUGAGUUUCACCCUUGCGAGUGUACUCCCCAGGCGGUAUACUUAUCGCGUUAGCUACGACACAGUCGGGGUUGAGCCCAACUACAUCAAGUAUACACCGUUUACAGCAAGGACUAC